GCCCGGGUGGCGAAAUUGGCAAACGCGUACGACUCAAACUCGUAUGGAUUCACCUCCUUGUGGGUUCAACUCCCACCCCGGGCA
Molecule: transfer RNA, 84 nt
Filed under: Candidatus Berkelbacteria bacterium CG23_combo_of_CG06-09_8_20_14_all_41_73
Lineage: Bacteria; Candidatus Berkelbacteria
Description: tRNA-Leu
Rfam family: tRNA
About the family: Transfer RNA (tRNA) molecules are approximately 80 nucleotides in length.
Source: RNAcentral